GACGAACGCUGGCGGCGUGCUUAGCACAUGCAAGUCGAACGGAAAGGCCCUGCUUUUGUGGGGUGCUCGAGUGGCGAACGGGUGAGUAACACGUGAGUAACCUGCCCUUGACUUUGGGAUAACUUCAGGAAACUGGGGCUAAUACCGGAUAGGAGCUCCUGCUGCAUGGUGGGGGUUGGAAAGUUUCGGCGGUUGGGGAUGGACUCGCGGCUUAUCAGCUUGUUGGUGGGGUAGUGGCUUACCAAGGCUUUGACGGGUAGCCGGCCUGAGAGGGUGACCGGCCACAUUGGGACUGAGAUACGGCCCAGACUCCUACGGGAGGCAGCAGUGGGGAAUAUUGCACAAUGGGCGGAAGCCUGAUGCAGCAACGCCGCGUGCGGGAUGACGGCCUUCGGGUUGUAAACCGCUUUCGCCUGUGACGAAGCGUGAGUGACGGCAAUGGGUAAAGAAGCACCGGCUAACUACGUG
RNAcentral lists this ribosomal RNA (468 nucleotides) under uncultured bacterium. RNAcentral's name for it is "partial 16S ribosomal RNA". It matches the Rfam family "Bacterial small subunit ribosomal RNA", at positions 28 to 507 of the family's 1533-position model. The record is from RNAcentral.